RNAcentral lists this ribosomal RNA (606 nucleotides) under uncultured bacterium. RNAcentral's name for it is "bacterial SSU rRNA". It matches the Rfam family "Bacterial small subunit ribosomal RNA", at positions 244 to 850 of the family's 1533-position model. The record is from RNAcentral.
GCUAGUUGGUCAGGUAACGGCUGACCAAGGCUACGAUGUCUAGGGGUUCUGAGAGGAAGGUCCCCCACACUGGAACUGAGACACGGUCCAGACUCCUACGGGAGGCAGCAGUGAGGAAUAUUGGACAAUGGUCGGAAGACUGAUCCAGCCAUGCCGCGUGAAGGUUACAGUCCUAUGGAUUUUAAACUUCUUUUGUAUGGAAGCAAUAAGGUGUACGCGUACACCGAUGAGAGUCCCAUACGAAUAAGCAUCGGCUAACUCCGUGCCAGCAGCCGCGGUAAUACGGAGGAUGCAAGCGUUAUCCGGAUUUAUUGGGUUUAAAGGGUGCGUAGGCGGAUAUGUAAGUCAGCGGUGAAACUCACAGGCUCAACCUGUGCCGUGCCGUUGAAACUGUGUAUCUGGAAUGCGGAUGCUGUGGGAGGAAUGUGUAGUGUAGCGGUGAAAUGCAUAGAUAUUACACAGAACACCGAUUGCGAAGGCAUCUCACAAAGCCGUUAUUGACGCUGAGGCACGAAAGUGUGGGGAUCAAACAGGAUUAGAUACCCUGGUAGUCCACUACUGUAAACUAUGAUAACUCGCUGCCAGCGACAGACAGUUGGUGGCCCA